GCACAAAUAGCGGUUAAACUUUAAUGAGGUUUAUAAGCUGGGAUGUUGACAGUGUGCAAAAACACAAUGGCGGAAAUCUUGGUGGGGCGGGGCGGGGGGCGGCCGCCCCCCACCUUCACGGAAAAUUGACGAAUUUUCGGAAAUUUUGACCUAAAAGAGGGCUAAAAACAGUCUUUUCGAGUGCAAAUGGGGGGGAGGUAUGUCGGAAAUUUGAGAGUUUUGUCGGAAAUUUAGGAGGCUUUGUCCCCCCCCCCCCACUGGAAAAAGUGAAUUUCCGCACGAUCCGCUCUACAGUUUCAGAUUCCAGUUUCAGAUUCAAAUUCAGAUUCAUAUUCAAAUUGGAAUCUGAAACGGGGUCAAUU
Paramuricea clavata is the source of this 362-nucleotide non-coding RNA. The record is from the annotation of a GenBank genome assembly. Lineage: Eukaryota; Metazoa; Cnidaria; Anthozoa; Malacalcyonacea; Plexauridae.